CAAGAAAUUUUUAAAUUAUUAA
Molecule: transfer RNA, 22 nt
Filed under: Equus caballus (horse)
Lineage: Eukaryota; Metazoa; Chordata; Mammalia; Perissodactyla; Equidae
Description: partial transfer RNA-Pro
Source: RNAcentral